GAAGACAUCCCAUUUCCAACCCCAGAUUAUUUCAAAGCUGGUGGGAUCUCACUCUGUCACCCAGGCUUGAGUGCAGUGGUGCAAUCUCGGCUCACUGCAACCUCCACCUCCUAGGCUCAAGUGAUCCUCCUACCUCAGCUUCCCAAGCAGCUGGGACUGAGGUGUGCACCCCCACACUUGGCUAAUUGAAACACUUCCUUCUAUCACACAAAAAGCAACAAGUACCAAAC
This 230-nucleotide long non-coding RNA is filed under the name Homo sapiens (human). RNAcentral describes it as "HSALNT0335337". Lineage: Eukaryota; Metazoa; Chordata; Mammalia; Primates; Hominidae. The record is from RNAcentral.